Molecule: ribosomal RNA, 237 nt
Filed under: uncultured bacterium
Lineage: Bacteria
Description: partial 16S ribosomal RNA
Rfam family: Bacterial small subunit ribosomal RNA
Source: RNAcentral
AUACGUAGGGGGCGAGCGUUGUCCGGAAUUAUUGGGCGUAAAGAGCGCGCAGGCGGCUAUUUAAGUCUACCGUGAAAGCUUACGGCUCAACCGUAACGGGUCGGUGGAUACUGGAUGGCUUGAGGGCAGGAGAGGAAAGUGGAAUUCCCAGUGUAGCGGUGAAAUGCGUAGAGAUUGGGAGGAACACCAGUGGCGAAGGCGACUUUCUGGACUGUUACUGACGCUGAGGCGCGAAAG